This is a long non-coding RNA of Magnolia sinica, 1041 nucleotides long. RefSeq lists it as uncharacterized. The record is from RefSeq and is a predicted model, not a curated record. The transcript is spliced from 2 exons. NCBI's taxonomy places the organism in Eukaryota, Viridiplantae, Streptophyta, Magnoliopsida, Magnoliales, Magnoliaceae.
UCCUUUGUAAGGUUCAUAAGAUUGUGUAUUUAUCAUCUAACCUAUUCAUACGAUCACACAAAUAACUGGUUGGGUUUCUCACUCUCUCCUCACAUGAACAUGGAUGCAUCUACAAACCCACAUCAGCAUCAUCAUCAUUACCACCAUCGUCAGCAACAUCAUCAUCAUUAUCAUCAAACACAAGCUGCAGCUACUGUUUCUCCUGCAGUUCCAACCAGCUUCUUUCUAGUUCCUCAGGUGGAAACAUAAGGUGGGGCCCUUUACUCCCAGUUGUCUGUAAUGCCACUGAAAUCUAAUGGCUCCCUUUGUAUCAUGGAAGCUCUUACAAGAUCACAGCAAGGUGAAGGAGUGAUGCCAGCUUCCUCUCCCAAGCUUGAAGAUUUCCUGGGUGGUGCAACCAUGGGAGCCCACCAGUACGGAUCCAUUAACAGGGAAGCUAUGUCUCUAAGCUUGGACAACAUGUAUUAUCAACACAAGCCACAAGCUGAAAACAGCAGGUAGCAACAUUCCCUAGGCCUUCUCGAGCCCUUCAGGCAACUAAUUCAAGCCCAACAGCAGCAGCAGCAGCAACAAUACUUUCAGCCACUACAGGAAGGGUUGUGCACAGGAUUAACAGCUCAUGACAUGUACCAGACUGCCUUGGAAGUGGCGCUGAAGGAAGAGAUUUUCGUCCCUCUCAUACGGACACAAUGUCCACAUCACUGCAGUGGAUCAUGGCGAACCUAGUGAAGCAUCAGGAUGUGCAGGCCAAGCUGGUGGAAGAGAUCGAUCGGGUUGUGGGGGGAUGGGUGAGAAGACAUUAAAGAGGAGGAUUUGUAGCGGAUGUCAUAUCCAAAGGUAGUGAUUAUUCUAGAAAAGUGCAAGGAAUUGUUGGAUUUUAGAAGCUUGGAAAUGAAAUGUUGUAUUGAAAUUGGAAAUUGAAAUUGAAAUUGAAAUGUGUACUAGAAAAGAAGGAAAAGAUUAUUAUGUGUGUGAAUCUUUCUAUUGUCUUUUUCUUCUAUUUGUGUAAUUAUCUGGCAUAUAAUACAAGUAGAUUACAUA